GUGCUCGCUUCGGCAUCACAUAUACUAAAAUUGGUAUGAUACAGAGAAGAUUAGCAUGGCCCCUGUGCAAGGAAGGGAGGGAACUUUAGACCUAGAGGUCUCUCAUUAUUUU
This is a small nuclear RNA of Dromiciops gliroides (monito del monte), 112 nucleotides long. NCBI's taxonomy places the organism in Eukaryota, Metazoa, Chordata, Mammalia, Microbiotheria, Microbiotheriidae. The record is from RefSeq and is a predicted model, not a curated record.